RNAcentral lists this ribosomal RNA (253 nucleotides) under uncultured bacterium. Its description in RNAcentral is "partial 16S ribosomal RNA". It matches the Rfam family "Bacterial small subunit ribosomal RNA", at positions 524 to 776 of the family's 1533-position model. The record is from RNAcentral.
UACAGAGGUCUCAACCGUUGUUCGGAUUCAUUGGGCGUAAAGGGUGCGUAGGCGGUCGUGCAAGUCGGAUGUGAAAUCUCAGGGCUCAACCCUGAAACUGCAUUCGAUACUGCGUGGCUAGAGUGCUGGAGAGGAGACUGGAAUUUACGGUGUAGCAGUGAAAUGCGUAGAUAUCGUAAGGAAGACCAGUGGCGAAGGCGAGUCUCUGGACAGCAACUGACGCUGAGGCACGAAAGCUAGGGGAGCGAUCCGG